AGGUGUGCACUGAUGAAGCCUCACCGGCUCAGGUCAGGGUGUCCACAGGUGCCCGUGGAGUAGGGGCACAGAUGGGGAAGAAGAGGACUGGCAGGAAGUCCUUGCAGGCUGUUCUCACAGGCCCUGUGCCACCUGUGAUCACAUAACUUGACUCUGGAAAUGAGUGUUUUUUUUUUUUUUUUUGGAGACAGAGUCUUGCUCCGUUGCCUAGGCUGGAGUGCAGUGGUACAAUCUUGGCUUACUGCAACGUCCGACUCCCGGGUUCAAGUGAUUCUCCUGCCUCAGCCUCCUGAGUAGCUAGGAUUACAGGUAUGCACCACCAUGCCCGGCUAAUUUUGUAUUUUUAGCAGAGAUGGGGUUUCACCGUAUUGGCUAGGCUGGUCUUGAACUUCUGACCUCAGAUGAUCCACCUGCCUCAGCCUCCCAAAGUGCUGGGAUUACAGGCAUGAGCCACUGCGCCCGGCCUUUUUUUUUUUUUCUUUUCUAAUUUGAGACAGAGUCUUGCUCUGUCACCCAGGCUGGAGUUCAGUGGUGGUUUCUGAAGAAUGAUCAAACCAUAUAAUUAAACCAAUCAUUUUAGGUAACUGUGUGAUCCUCUAAC
RNAcentral lists this non-coding RNA (601 nucleotides) under Pongo abelii (Sumatran orangutan). The record is from RNAcentral. Lineage: Eukaryota; Metazoa; Chordata; Mammalia; Primates; Hominidae.